RNAcentral lists this ribosomal RNA (1000 nucleotides) under bacterium. RNAcentral describes it as "bacterial SSU rRNA". It matches the Rfam family "Bacterial small subunit ribosomal RNA", at positions 34 to 1044 of the family's 1533-position model. The record is from RNAcentral.
CCCAAGCGGCAGCUUACCAUGACAGUCGAGGGGUAGAGGCCUUCGGGCCUUGAGACCGGCGCACGGGUGCGUAACGCGUAUGCAAUCUGCCUUCCACAGAGGGAUAGCCCAGAGAGAUUUGGAUUAAUACCUCAUAGCAUCAUGACCCGGCAUCGGGAUAUGAUUAAAGUCACAACGGUGGAAGAUGAGCACGCGUCCCAUUAGCUAGUUGGUAAGGUAACGGCUUACCAAGGCUACGAUGGGUAGGGGUCCUGAGAGGGAGAUCCCCCACACUGGUACUGAGACACGGAUCCAGACUCAUACGGGAGGCAGCAGUGAGGAAUAUUGGUCAAUGGGCGCAAGCCUGAACCAGCCAUGCCGCGUGCAGGAUGACGGUCCUAUGGAUUGUAAACUGCUUUUGUACGGGAAGAAACCCUCCUACGUGUAGGAGCUUGACGGUACCGUAAGAAUAAGGAUCGGCUAACUCCGUGCCAGCAGCCGCGGUAAUACGGAGGAUCCAAGCGUUAUCCGGAAUCAUUGGGUUUAAAGGGUCUGUAGGCGGUCUUGUAAGUCAGUGGUGAAAGCCCAUCGCUCAACGGUGGAACGGCCAUUGAUACUGCUGGACUUGAAUUAUUGGGAAGCAACUAGAAUAUGUAGUGUAGCGGUGAAAUGCUUAGAGAUUACAUGGAAUACCAAUUGCGAAGGCAGGUUGCUACCAAUGGAUUGACGCUGAUGGACGAAAGCGUGGGUAGCGAACAGGAUUAGAUACCCUGGUAGUCCACGCCGUAAACGAUGGAUACUAGCUGUUGGGCGCAAGUUCAGUGGCUAAGCGAAAGUGAUAAGUAUCCCACCUGGGGAGUACGAACGCAAGUUUGAAACUCAAAGGAAUUGACGGGGGCCCGCACAAGCGGUGGAGCAUGUGGUUUAAUUCGAUGAUACGCGAGGAACCUUACUCAAGGCUUAAAUGCAGACUGACCGGUUUGGAAACAGACCUUUCGCAAGACAGUCUACAACGUGCUGC